This 253-nucleotide ribosomal RNA is filed under the name uncultured bacterium. RNAcentral's name for it is "partial 16S ribosomal RNA". It matches the Rfam family "Bacterial small subunit ribosomal RNA", at positions 524 to 776 of the family's 1533-position model. The record is from RNAcentral.
UACGAAGGGGGCUAGCGUUGCUCGGAAUCACUGGGCGUAAAGGGUGCGUAGGCGGGUCUUUAAGUCAGGGGUGAAAUCCUGGAGCUCAACUCCAGAACUGCCUUUGAUACUGAAGAUCUUGAGUUCGGGAGAGGUGAGUGGAACUGCGAGUGUAGAGGUGAAAUUCGUAGAUAUUCGCAAGAACACCAGUGGCGAAGGCGGCUCACUGGCCCGAUACUGACGCUGAUGCGCGAAAGCCAGGGGAGCGAACGGG